CGUUCAUGCAUACAUGGUGUACUAAUUUCUCGAUUUUUCCGAGAUUUUGUAGACGAACGAGCAGCACUGUUUAUGAGCUUGCAUAGGAAACAUGCUCCUCAUUUUUUCUUCUGCUCAUUCACUGCACACAAGAGCUGUCAUGGCCAUCAAAAUUCAGUGCACAUCUUGAGCUGCUUCUGCUUAUCAAGAGGGAUCUUCACUUUUUCUUUAUUUGGGAGAAGAAUUGCUACUCCUGUCGCUCAGUAUGGUAGCCUAGAUGUAUGCUCAAGUUUCACAAGUUUUGAUGCAUGGUAGAAUAUGUGGUGCACUUCUUUAUACUGCAGCAAGCAAUAGAAAAGAAUCUUCAGAUUCUAAUGAUGUGUCUUGUUCACUUCUUGCAGGCGGUUGAGCUGCUCGGCCCCAAGCUACCUCCACUAGGAUAACCUCACUCUCGAAGGGCUCGACUAGGUGUUGCGUCUAGGGAACAUAAUUCAUCAUGUUGUACCCCUCCGGCAGCAGCGGGUGAAUGUCCGCCAAGGUUGACCCAUCAUGUGCAUCAUGGUUCGACUUGGCGUUUCGUCUAGGGAACAUCAUUCAUCAUGUUAUACCCCUCCGGCAGCAGCGGGUGGACGCCUGCCAAGGUUGACCCAUCAUUUUUGGAUAUAGUGUCGAUCUUCGGUGCUGUCCAGAUCUCAUGGAUCGUCUUAGCGAGUUCCUAGAACUUUGUGAAGAUAUAGGUGGCUUUCUGGAUGGUGUCACAAUAAAAGUAAGUGAUCUAUUACUCAAGUUUACGGAUUCCACCAAACUCCUUCGCCGACUGGCCUAGGUGGCUGCUAUGGAAUCCCUGGAAAGCUGUCCUGGCUCCUGCGGUGCUGUGCUGGCCACUGGCAUCCUAUAUGUGACAUACUGUUUCAGUUGAUUGUAUUGUGGAGUGGUAGUUGACGUUCCAUUUUUGUAGUGUGAUUUUGUUUGGUUAGACUUGCAAUGAUUCCGUUUGUGCUUGAAUUUCACAUGAGCUGUGUGCAUUACCUUCUUAGAUUCGAACAUCCAAAAAAUAGGUUUUUAUACUCCUGCUAAUUAAAUUGAUUUUAUUAGUUGGCUUAACUUGUACAGAAAUUCUUCAAUUUUGCUGGUUCUGCCUAGUGUUGUUGUUCUAUGUAUAGCAUUGUCUCGGGUAUGUAAUUCUAGGACUUGACCUCAUGUGAUGGGGCUUAUAUAGUUGCCUAUGUUUAGCACUUGGCACUCUAAAGAAGUUAAGUCUUCCUGAUUAAUAUUCUAGCAUGAUUCGGAUUAAUAUUCUAGCUUGAUUCGGCCGCUUAGCUAUAUUUCUAAUCAAUGCUGCUAUGCUAGUUCUAGGUAGCAUAAUACACUGAUUUUGAUACCCAAACAAUCUCGCAUGAUAUCCAAUCAAUACU
Molecule: long non-coding RNA, 1394 nt
Organism: Lolium rigidum
Lineage: Eukaryota; Viridiplantae; Streptophyta; Magnoliopsida; Poales; Poaceae
Exons: 5
Source: RefSeq, a predicted model, not a curated record